This 253-nucleotide ribosomal RNA is filed under the name uncultured bacterium. Its description in RNAcentral is "partial 16S ribosomal RNA". It matches the Rfam family "Bacterial small subunit ribosomal RNA", at positions 524 to 776 of the family's 1533-position model. The record is from RNAcentral.
UACGGGGGGGGUAAGCGUUGUUCGGAAUUACUGGGCGUAAAGGGCUCGUAGGCGGCCAACUAAGUCAGACGUGAAAUCCCUCAGCUUAACUGGGGAACUGCGUCUGAUACUGGAUGGCUUGGAUCCGGGAGAGGGAUGCGGAAUUCCAGGUGUAGCGGUGAAAUGCGUAGAUAUCUGGAGGAACACCGGUGGCGAAGGCGGUUCUCUGGGCCUUACCUGACGCUGAGGAGCGAAAGCGUGGGGAGCGAACAGG